This 1030-nucleotide long non-coding RNA is filed under the name Parus major (Great Tit). RNAcentral's name for it is "lncRNA (ENSPMJG00000013820.1)". The record is from RNAcentral. Lineage: Eukaryota; Metazoa; Chordata; Aves; Passeriformes; Paridae.
CGGGGCGGGAGGGGCCGCGAGCUGCACCGGAACCGGGAACGAGACCGGAACCGGGAACGAGACCGGCACCGGAACCGGCCCCGCAGGGACGAGCUGGCCGUGCCGUGCCGAGCUCCGGGACCGGAACUAGGAUCGGGACCGCGAUAGGCCCCCCCAAGGACGUGCGGGCUGAGCUAAGGCUCGGUACCGGGUCAUUCCUCCUGGAUCAUGUCACUCAUUCCUUCAUUCUCCUGAAAUGUUCAAGGAGUGACUGGACUGGACGUGGCACUGCUCCGGUCUGGUUGACAAGGGCCACCCAGGGUCACUCACUUGGCAGCCUGAGGGACAGUUCUCGUGUGCUGGGGGUGCCACAGCCCCCUGGGAAGAGGAAUCCCAGUGCUGGGCUCAGCAGGAAGGAGCGGCUCAGGAGCGCGUGUCCGGCUCUGGUGUUAAAUAACAGCAGGAGGAAGCGAGCUGAAAGGACACUGACUUCGGGGACAGAGCUCCUGACCCUCCACUCCCUGCUCUGGCACUGCUUCCUGGCUCACUCUGGAGAUGGCAUGUGUGUCAGCAACCUGUGGGUGACCAAACUCACCUCAAUCCUUCAGCAGCUGUCCUGUGCGGGAAGGAACCAUCAUGCCAACCCUAAAGACACAAUUUCCUGGGCUGUGCAGCUGUGGGUGCAGCUCCCUGCUGAUUCAGCCCCUCGCAGGAUGGAGGGAUGGGAAUCUAUUUUUAAUAGAUGAGAUAAUUUAUGGCUGGUACAGGGUAAACCCUGAGUGACCAGUCAGGUGCCAACAUCGCAGAGGCCAAGAGAGUAAUAAUUUAGAAGUACUUUGAUUAGAAAAAAACCUUUACUUUAGGCUUGGCUCAUGUUUUAAUUAAUGUCAUCUAUUAACAUUUUGAAGAGAAAUGGGUUUGGCAAACCAAGCAGCCAUUUGGGAAGACAGUGAGGAGUACAGCUGCUGUACUGCAGCAGGAAUCUCCCUAGCUCUGUACAGACUCACUAUUACUAAAUAAAGCUACUUUCAAGCCAUCCUUGUAUUUCUUU